UCUCAAUCCAAGAGAGAAAUGGGAAU
RNAcentral lists this non-coding RNA (26 nucleotides) under Rattus norvegicus (Norway rat). The record is from RNAcentral. Lineage: Eukaryota; Metazoa; Chordata; Mammalia; Rodentia; Muridae.